UUGGAGGGCAAGUCUGGUGCCAGCAGCCGCGGUAAUUCCAGCUCCAAUAGCGUAUAUUAAAGUUGUUGCAGUUAAAAAGCUCGUAGUUGAAUUUCGGGAUUGACGUGAUGGUCAUGCCUUAAGGGGUAUGAACUGUCACAGUUGAUUUCUCACCUUCUGGAGAAACUUGAUGUCCUUUAUUGGGUGUCUUGCGGAUCCAGGACCUUUACCUUGAAAAAAUUAGAGUGUUUAAAGCAGGCAUUUAUGCUCGAAUACAUUAGCAUGGAAUAAUAGAAUAGGACGGCAUGGUUCUAUUUUGUUGGUUUCUAGGAUCACCGUAAUGAUUAAUAGGGAUAGUUGGGGGCAUUAGUAUUCAAUUGUCAGAGGUGAAAUUCUUGGAUUUAUUGAAGACUAACUACUGCGAAAGCAUUUGCCAAGGAUGUUUUCAUUAAUCAAGAACGAAAGUUAGGGGAUCGAAGACGAUCAGAUACCGUCGUAGUCUUAACCAUAAACUAUGCCGACUAGGAAUCAGACGAUGUUAAUUUUUUAAUGACUCGUUUGGCACCUUACGGGAAACCAAAGUGUUUGGGUUC
This 572-nucleotide ribosomal RNA is filed under the name uncultured Glomeromycotina. RNAcentral describes it as "SSU rRNA". It matches the Rfam family "Eukaryotic small subunit ribosomal RNA", at positions 548 to 1114 of the family's 1831-position model. Lineage: Eukaryota; Fungi; Glomeromycota. The record is from RNAcentral.